CCUACGGGUGGCUGCAGUGAGGAAUAUUGGUCAAUGGACGAGAGUCUGAACCAGCCAAGUAGCGUGAAGGAUGACUGCCCUAUGGGUUGUAAACUUCUUUUAUAUGGGAAUAAAAUGUUCCACGUGUGGGAUUUUGUAUGUACCCUAUGCAUAAGGAUCGGCUAACUCCGUGCCAGCAGCCGCGGUAAUACGGAGUAUCCGAGCGUUAUCCGGAUUUAUUGGGUUUAAAGGGAGCGUAGGUGGAUUGUUAAGUCAGUUGUGAAAGUUUGCGGCUCAACCGUAAAAUUGCAGUUGAAACUGGCAGUCUUGAGUACAGUAGAGGUGGGCGGAAUUCGUGGUGUAGCGGUGAAAUGCUUAGAUAUCACGAAGAACUCCGAUUGCGAAGGCAGUUCACUGGACUGCAACUGACACUGAGGCUCGGAAGUGUGGGUAUCAAACAGGAUUAGAUACCCGGGUAGUC
RNAcentral lists this ribosomal RNA (460 nucleotides) under uncultured bacterium. RNAcentral's name for it is "partial 16S ribosomal RNA". It matches the Rfam family "Bacterial small subunit ribosomal RNA", at positions 338 to 795 of the family's 1533-position model. The record is from RNAcentral.